UGACCUCGGAUCAGGUAGGACUACCCGCUGAACUUAAGCAUAUCAAUAAGCGGAGGAAAAGAAACCAACAGGGAUUGCCCCAGUAACGGCGAGUGAAGCGGCAACAGCUCAAAUUUGAAAUCUGGCCCUCGGGUCCGAGUUGUAAUUUGGAGAGGAUGCUUCUGGCGCGGCGCCGUCCGAGUUCCUUGGAACAGGACGCCAUAGAGGGUGAGAGCCCCGUACGGGCGGACGCCUAGCCUUUGUGAAGCUCCUUCGACGAGUCGAGUAGUUUGGGAAUGCUGCUCAAAAUGGGAGGUAAAUUUCUUCUAAAGCUAAAUACCGGCCAGAGACCGAUAGCGCACAAGUAGAGUGAUCGAAAGAUGAAAAGCACUUUGAAAAGAGGGUUAAAAAGUACGUGAAAUUGUUGAAAGGGAAGCGCCUGUGACCAGACUUGCUGCCCGCGGAUCAUCCGGCGUUCUUCGCCGGUGCGCUCCGCGGGCGGCAGGCCAGCAUCGGUUCUCCUGGGGGGUUAAAGGUUGCGGGAACGUGGCUCCUACGGGAGUGU
Molecule: ribosomal RNA, 544 nt
Filed under: Ophiostoma bicolor
Lineage: Eukaryota; Fungi; Ascomycota; Sordariomycetes; Ophiostomatales; Ophiostomataceae
Description: eukaryotic LSU rRNA
Rfam family: Eukaryotic large subunit ribosomal RNA
Source: RNAcentral